This 121-nucleotide ribosomal RNA is filed under the name uncultured bacterium. RNAcentral's name for it is "partial 16S ribosomal RNA". It matches the Rfam family "Bacterial small subunit ribosomal RNA", at positions 339 to 460 of the family's 1533-position model. The record is from RNAcentral.
UUACGGGAGGCAGCUGUGGGGAAUCUUAGACUAAUGGGCGCAAGCUUGAUCUAGCCUUGCCGCGUGUGUGAUGAAGGUCUUAGGAUCGUAAAGCACUCGCCAGGGAUGAUAAUGACAUACU